UAUGUGCACACCUGGCUGUUUUACUCUUACACCUCUGUGCACUACUUGUAGGAUGGUUCAGUUGUUAGCUGGCUUUUUGUUAGGUCAGCUAAAAGCUUUGCCUUUUCCUAUGUUUUUAUUAUAAACGCUUCAGUUUAAGAAUGUUUACUUGCGUCUGACGCAUUAAUGUACAACUUUCAGCAACGGAUCUCUUGGCUCUCGCAUCGAUGAAGAACGCAGCGAAAUGCGAUAAGUAAUGUGAAUUGCAGAAUUCAGUGAAUCAUCGAAUCUUUGAACGCAACUUGCGCCCUUUGGCAUUCCGAGGGGCACACCUGUUUGAGUAUCAUGGAAUUCUCAAUCCUCUAAAUUCUGUAUGAGUUUAGUUGACUUGGAUGUGGAGGUUGUGUCGGUGGCUUUUUGUUAGUCGACUCCUCUGAAAUGUAUUAGUGUGAAUCUUAUGAAUCACCUUCAGUAUGAUAAUUGUCUAUGCUGUGGUGUGAAGUGUAUUUGUUUAUUCAUGCUUUGAAUCCUCUCUUAGAAGAGUCAAUUACUUUGUAAUCUGAUC
This is a ribosomal RNA of 544 nucleotides. The stretch from base 172 to 325 matches the Rfam family "5.8S ribosomal RNA".